GUGAGGACGAGAGUUAAGCACCACCUUUAUAAUUUAUAAUACUAUCUGAAUUGUAUUUUUAAACAAUAUAGUUUCGAAAAUUUAAUUGUUUACACCACUAAAAUCUAGAAAUAAUGCAACUACUUUGUAAAGUAUUUUAUUAAUUUCAUGAUGAGAGUUGUGAGAGCUGGAAGUGAGAACGGCUUUCGCCUGGAGCAUCGAUUUUAUUAAAAUACGACAAUUAGAUGUGGUAGUAAUUUUGUCUAGCGCGAACUAAGUAUUGAACCCUCUGAAGCAACUAAUAGCACGUCCUAGCAAUAUUUUAUUUACAUAUUAAAGAUCUAAAAAAAAUAUUUAUUUCUCUUAUUUUAGUUAUUCAAUUAAUCAUAACCCUUUAAAUCAUUAGCCUUAGAUUUACAAAGCAACACUAGAAUACGGUAGGUCGAUUAUUGGUCCUUUGGGUUCGAUAUCUUUUAAAACUACACGACACGACUGUAUACUUGCAGUACCAUUGCGUUGUCACACGAUCAA
Molecule: long non-coding RNA, 510 nt
Filed under: Trifolium pratense (red clover)
Lineage: Eukaryota; Viridiplantae; Streptophyta; Magnoliopsida; Fabales; Fabaceae
Description: long non-coding RNA (TPRA_LNC008689)
Source: RNAcentral